ACAUCCUCCUCCUUAAUUUUUACAGCAUGAAUGGCUUUAUCUUUAACUACUCUGUCCCAUUCAUUACCCUAGGGUGAGGGGAGACCAAGGGCCCUAUCUUGCAUCCGGCGCAAGUGACUUAGUCACUGGCGCAAGUGUCGUUGCUAGUUUACAACUGGCGCAGAGCGCUCUUUUGCCACUUGCGCCACUCGCCGGUAAAUUAGGGAAUGAUCUUGCGCCCCAAGGGGCGGUUCGGCGGAAGGAGGAGGCGUGUUCUGGCGCAAACGGUAUUUUGACGUUUCUGAAAACCAUUGCGCUACUGACCAGGAAAUACCUGGUUUAAAGUCAGUGGCGCGUUGUUCAGACGCUAUUUUAAGGGCGCAUGCCUACAUGCGCAUGCAUGCAUACGGAUUGCUUGUGCACCUCGCGCAUACACUUUGCUUCUCUCAUCUACCUAGCCGCACAUUCUUGGUGAAUUAUUUGGGAAAGAACAGCUGAUGCAGCGGUAAUAAGUUGUACUUUUAAAUCAAUGCAUCUGCAAACACCGUACAGCAAACACAUAUUUUCUUGACACAGACAUCGUGUAGGCCUACAUGCCCAUAACUUUUAGGUUUGAUGAGUAGGCCUAUUUGAUCGUGAAAAACAUUGUUUUACCGCGAGUGAGUGUUAAAAAGAAUGAAUGAAUGCGGGCGCGCGUGUGUGCUCUGUUUAAACACACGCAAACUAAACACUCUCAUCAUCAUCUCAUCUUCGUUCGCUUAUCCGGGGUCGGGUCGCGGGGGAGCAGCUCAAGCAGGGGGCCCCAGACUUCCCUUUCCCGGGCCACAUUGACCAACUCUGACGGGGGGAUCCCGAGGCGUUCCCAGGCCAGUGUUGAGAUAUAAUCUCUCCACCUAGUCCUGGGUCUUCCCCGAGGUCUCCUCCCCACUGGACGUGCCUGAAACACCUCCCAAGGAAGGCGCCCAGUGGGCAUCCUUACCAGAACCCCGAACCACCUCAGCUGACUCCUUUCUAAGUAAAGGAGCAGCGGCUCUAAUCCGAGUUCCUCACGGAUGGCUGAGCUUCUCACCCUAUCCCUAAGGGAGACGCCAGCCACCCUUCUGAGAAAACUCAUCUCGGCCGCUUGUACCCGCGAUCUCGUCCUU
This 1124-nucleotide long non-coding RNA is filed under the name Gadus morhua (Atlantic cod). Its description in RNAcentral is "lncRNA (ENSGMOG00000030163.1)". Lineage: Eukaryota; Metazoa; Chordata; Actinopteri; Gadiformes; Gadidae. The record is from RNAcentral.